This 739-nucleotide ribosomal RNA is filed under the name uncultured Corynebacterium sp. Its description in RNAcentral is "bacterial SSU rRNA". It matches the Rfam family "Bacterial small subunit ribosomal RNA", at positions 28 to 776 of the family's 1533-position model. The record is from RNAcentral. Lineage: Bacteria; Bacillati; Actinomycetota; Actinomycetes; Mycobacteriales; Corynebacteriaceae.
GACGAACGCUGGCGGCGUGCUUAACACAUGCAAGUCGAACGGAAAGGCCCUGCUUGCAGGGUGCUCGAGUGGCGAACGGGUGAGUAACACGUGGGUGAUCUGCCCCUUACUUUGGGAUAAGCCUGGGAAACUGGGUCUAAUACUGGAUAGGACCAUGCUGUAGGUGGUGUGGUGGAAAGAUUAGUUUCGGUAAGGGAUGAGCUCGCGGCCUAUCAGCUUGUUGGUGGGGUAAUGGCCUACCAAGGCGUCGACGGGUAGCCGGCCUGAGAGGGUGGACGGCCACAUUGGGACUGAGAUACGGCCCAGACUCCUACGGGAGGCAGCAGUGGGGAAUAUUGCACAAUGGGCGCAAGCCUGAUGCAGCGACGCCGCGUGGGGGAUGACGGCCUUCGGGUUGUAAACUCCUUUCAGCCAUGACGAAGCCCUUGUGGUGACGGUAGUGGUAGAAGAAGCACCGGCUAACUACGUGCCAGCAGCCGCGGUAAUACGUAGGGUGCGAGCGUUGUCCGGAAUUACUGGGCGUAAAGAGCUCGUAGGUGGUCUGUCGCGUCAUUUGUGAAAGCCCGGGGCUUAACUCCGGGUUGGCAGGUGAUACGGGCAUGACUGGAGCACUGUAGGGGAGACUGGAAUUCCUGGUGUAGCGGUGAAAUGCGCAGAUAUCAGGAGGAACACCGGUGGCGAAGGCGGGUCUCUGGGCAGUAACUGACGCUGAGGAGCGAAAGCAUGGGUAGCGAACAGG